Molecule: ribosomal RNA, 497 nt
Filed under: uncultured bacterium
Lineage: Bacteria
Description: partial 16S ribosomal RNA
Rfam family: Bacterial small subunit ribosomal RNA
Source: RNAcentral
GACGAACGCUGGCGGCGUGCCUAAUACAUGCAAGUAGAACGCUGAAGAGAGGAGCUUGCUCUUCUUGGAUGAGUUGCGAACGGGUGAGUAACGCGUAGGUAACCUGCCUUGUAGCGGGGGAUAACUAUUGGAAACGAUAGCUAAUACCGCAUAACAAUGGAUGACACAUGUCAUUUAUUUGAAAGGGGCAAUUGCUCCACUACAAGAUGGACCUGCGUUGUAUUAGCUAGUAGGUGAGGUAAUGGCUCACCUAGGCGACGAUACAUAGCCGACCUGAGAGGGUGAUCGGCCACCCUGGGACUGAGACACGGCCCAGACUCCUACGGGAGGCAGCCGUAGGGAAUCUUCGGCAAUGGGGGCAACCCUGACCGAGCAACGCCGCGUGAGUGAAGAAGGUUUUCGGAUCGUAAAGCUCUGUUGUAAGUCAAGAACGGGUGUGAGAGUGGAAAGUUCACACUGUGACGGUAGCUUACCAGAAAGGGACGGCUAACUACGUG